UUUAUGGCUGAUGCAGCAUCAUCAAGAUUCUCACUUCACAAAGCCAAUGGAUUGGAAGAGCUAGCUAGCACUUAGAUUGCUUAAUAGUCCCACCCACCAGCAUUGCAUGUGAAUCUUGAUGAUGCUACAUCUGCAAACAA
This is a non-coding RNA of Lupinus albus (white lupine), 140 nucleotides long. NCBI's taxonomy places the organism in Eukaryota, Viridiplantae, Streptophyta, Magnoliopsida, Fabales, Fabaceae. The record is from the annotation of a GenBank genome assembly.